This 832-nucleotide long non-coding RNA is filed under the name Capra hircus (goat). RNAcentral's name for it is "lncRNA (ENSCHIG00000007498.1)". Lineage: Eukaryota; Metazoa; Chordata; Mammalia; Artiodactyla; Bovidae. The record is from RNAcentral.
GCAGUUAUUGCUGUUGAUGUUAUGUAAGAGGUUGGUUGUGAAUGAUCACUCUCCUCAUUCUUCCUUCUCCACCAGUACUAGGUCCUGUGAUGGUGAAGUGGAUAACAGCAACAGCUAAAAGAGCCCAGGCUUAUGAUGUUCCAGACUCUAUGCUAAGCACUUUAACUGGUUGAUCUCAUUUCAACUCUCCCAACAAUCCUAUCAGGAAGGUACUAUUAUUAUUCCCAUUUUAUAGAUGAGGCAACUGAAGCUGAGGUUUAGAGGCUGACACAGGGUGUGUGAGUCAUAAAUGAUAGAUCUAGGGUAUGAAACUGGGCAGUCUGCCUCCAGAGCCUAUGUUAUACUGCUUGAAGAGUUUAGUUUCCCAGCUUUUAAUAUUUCUUUCUUGAACUAAAGAAGGAAAGCUGGUUGGCUUACAUAUGGAGUGUAUCCAGAAGUCAUUUAAUCUUAUGCUCUUUUCUUCUCUUUAUACAUGGUACAGAUUUGGCACUGAUACUCAUGUUUACAUGCAAAACUCUAAGAAACUCAGAUGUUCAGAUUCAGCUUCUGCGUGCAAAGAAUUUUAUGAAUGCCAAUGCUCACAAAUGGGUCCUGCAGCUAUUUCUCCUUUCCCUCCUUCUUCAUCCAUUGAAAAGAGAGCCUUGAAUACUGUAGAAACAUGCCUGCAUUUACUGGAGGUUUUAGAUGCCACGCACCUUGGACGGAAGCAAGGCCUUUCAUCCAUCCAGCAAGGGCUUUCCCUGGAAUUGAGCUGUUGGCAGAUGCAGCCCCAUUCCAGCCAGAUCCAUACACAAAAUGCUUUAUCCCCAAGCAAUUGUUUUUAUGUUUUUCC